RNAcentral lists this ribosomal RNA (24 nucleotides) under Luffa acutangula (angled luffa). RNAcentral describes it as "partial 28S ribosomal RNA". The record is from RNAcentral. Lineage: Eukaryota; Viridiplantae; Streptophyta; Magnoliopsida; Cucurbitales; Cucurbitaceae.
GGGGUACCCGCUGAUUUAAGAUAU